This 460-nucleotide ribosomal RNA is filed under the name uncultured Treponema sp. RNAcentral describes it as "partial 16S ribosomal RNA". It matches the Rfam family "Bacterial small subunit ribosomal RNA", at positions 341 to 792 of the family's 1533-position model. The record is from RNAcentral. Lineage: Bacteria; Pseudomonadati; Spirochaetota; Spirochaetia; Treponematales; Treponemataceae.
ACGGGAGGCAGCAGCUAGGAAUAUUCCGCAAUGGACGAAAGUCUGACGGAGCGACGCCGCGUGGAUGAUGAAGGCCGGAAGGUUGUAAAAUCCUUUUAUGACUGAGGAAUAAGUAUGGUGAGAGAAACGCCAUAUGGUGACUGUAGGUCAUGAAUAAGCAACGGCUAAUUACGUGCCAGCAGCCGCGGUAACACGUAAGUUGCGAGCGUUGUUCGAAAUUAUUGGGCGUAAAGGGCAUGUAGGCGGUUUUGCAAGCUUGGUGUGAAAUCCCGGAGCUUAACUCCGGAAUUGCGUUGAGAACUGCAUAACUAGAGUCACUGAGGGGCAAUCAGAAUUCCAGGUGUAGGGGUGAAAUCUGUAGAUAUCUGGAAGAAUACCAACGGCGAAGGCAGGUUACCAGCAGAUGACUGACGCUGAGGUGCGAAGGUGCGGGGAGCAAACAGGAUUAGAUACCCUGGUA